Molecule: long non-coding RNA, 87 nt
Organism: Myotis davidii
Lineage: Eukaryota; Metazoa; Chordata; Mammalia; Chiroptera; Vespertilionidae
Exons: 2
Source: RefSeq, a predicted model, not a curated record
GUCAUUACUCAUGGUUACACAGAACUAAGCAAAAAGUGUUGGGCAGAAGAGAAUGAAAUUGACACAAUUAAAGUACUGAAAGAAAAA